RNAcentral lists this ribosomal RNA (253 nucleotides) under uncultured bacterium. Its description in RNAcentral is "partial 16S ribosomal RNA". It matches the Rfam family "Bacterial small subunit ribosomal RNA", at positions 524 to 776 of the family's 1533-position model. The record is from RNAcentral.
UACGUAGGGUGCGAGCGUUAAUCGGAAUUACUGGGCGUAAAGCGUGCGCAGGCGGCGCGUUAAGACAGGUGUGAAAGCCCCGGGCUUAACCUGGGAACUGCAUUUGUGACUGCAUCGCUGGAGUGCGGCAGAGGGGGAUGGAAUUCCGCGUGUAGCAGUGAAAUGCGUAGAUAUGCGGAGGAACACCGAUGGCGAAGGCAAUCCCCUGGGCCUGCACUGACGCUCAUGCACGAAAGCGUGGGGAGCAAACAGG